CCUACGGGAGGCAGCAGUGGGGAAUAUUGGACAAUGGGCGAAAGCCUGAUCCAGCAAUGCCGCGUGAGUGAUGAAGGCCUUAGGGUUGUAAAGCUCUUUUACCAGGGAUGAUAAUGACAGUACCUGGAGAAUAAGCUCCGGCUAACUCCGUGCCAGCAGCCGCGGUAAUACGGAGGGAGCUAGCGUUGUUCGGAAUUACUGGGCGUAAAGCGUACGUAGGCGGUUAUUCAAGUCAGAGGUGAAAGCCCGGGGCUCAACCCCGGAACUGCCUUUGAAACUAGAUAGCUAGAAUCUUGGAGAGGUUAGUGGAAUUCCGAGUGUAGAGGUGAAAUUCGUAGAUAUUCGGAAGAACACCAGUGGCGAAGGCGACUAACUGGACAAGUAUUGACGCUGAGGUACGAAAGCGUGGGGAGCAAACAGGAUUAGAUACCCUGGUAGUCCACGCCGUAAACGAUGAUAACUAGUUGUUCGGGCACUUGGUGCCUGAGUGACGCAGCUAACGCAUUAAGUUAUCCGCCUGGGGAGUACGGUCGCAAGAUUAAAACUCAAAUGAAUUGACGGCUGAGAGNGCGAGCGACGACGAGGAGAG
RNAcentral lists this ribosomal RNA (589 nucleotides) under uncultured bacterium. RNAcentral describes it as "bacterial SSU rRNA". It matches the Rfam family "Bacterial small subunit ribosomal RNA", at positions 338 to 944 of the family's 1533-position model. The record is from RNAcentral.